ACUUUUGUGCAAUAAUUAAAUCGAUGGUUGGGGAGCCCAGUGGUCUCGGGCCAGCCCCACCUUCUUUCUAUAUUUGCAAAUAGAAGAGGACUCUGGACCCUUUCCAACUUGAAUGUAAUCAUCUCUAGGGGUGGAGGCCCCUUGGUCCCCAGAUGGUUGGAUCCUUUCUGAUCCUGUAUCUACCUUCAAGGAGCUCGAAGAUUAAGAUAACCAGACUCCAAGGUAUUUAGCAUCCUCAUAGAGAUUGGGGUAAUUCUCUUCAUUCUCAUACUAAGAAACUAGAAGGGGGGAAAGUUUAUCUGAGGUCAUGAGGCCAGGAUUAGAGCCAGCGCCCCUCCCUGGUCCAUUCUCUUGCACAAAAGGAUGGUGGCAGCCAUAGGAGGGCACCGCCCAGGCUUCCCUUCAGUGAAGAAUGUUCUGGAAGGAGUGUCUGUUAGCUGACGGCCCCCAGCUGUUGCAUUUUCCCUUUGGGAUCUGCCGCAGCAGUCCUGCUGAGGCCACACUUUGUCCAGGCUGUUCCCGCCCAAUGACAGCACGACGGGGACGGGGCGGCCGGUGGCAGGGGGUGUGGGUGCGCCCAGAGCUGGGCCAUUCUUCCUGACGCAGGACCCCUCCGAUGAGCCGUCUUUGCUCUGGGGCUCCACGUCAGCCUGCCAGAGACUCUUCCAGAGUUUCACUAUAUCUGCGGCCCUUCCCACCCAGCCUCCGUCCUUCCCUCUCCUUUCUCAGGGGUCAGACUUGCAUCGCGGUCUCCCCUCCUAUUCCUGUCCCUCCCCACUUUAUCCUUCACGGGCAUUUUCCCCCCAGUAAAUCUCUUGAACUUCUAGUUCCAUCUCAGUGCCUGCUCCCUGGAGGGCCCAAACUGCCACAGUUCCAGUUGCUCCGGGGUAAGGCCGGGCGCAUCUCUGCCCAGGGCCCCUGUUGCGGCUGCUCUUGGAAAGUCAGUCCCAGGACCAGACUGUUCUCUGACCCAGAACUCUUGCUGAAUGGCCACUCUGAGCAUGAGUCUGAGAACCGAAUGCCGACCGCUGCAGAUCCGUACAUUGAAUCAAAGACUCCCCAGACUGGCUUCCACCUGGGGCCAAGGUUGUUGCUGUGCCCAGUUUGAGCCGGACAAGCAAGAAGGAGCAAAGCUCUGCAACCAGGUGGCUGCGGGUUCGGACCUACCUUCGUUUCCGAGCCGUUUUUGCUUCAUUUGCUCUCAUUUGCACCUUCUUCAUGAGAAAUGCUCGAUGACGGGCGCCUGGGUGGCUCCGUCGGUCAAGCGUCCGACUUCGGCUCAGGUCAUGAUCUCGCGGUCCGUGGGUUC
Herpailurus yagouaroundi (jaguarundi) is the source of this 1309-nucleotide long non-coding RNA. RefSeq lists it as uncharacterized. The transcript is spliced from 3 exons. The record is from RefSeq and is a predicted model, not a curated record. NCBI's taxonomy places the organism in Eukaryota, Metazoa, Chordata, Mammalia, Carnivora, Felidae.